RNAcentral lists this ribosomal RNA (505 nucleotides) under uncultured bacterium. RNAcentral's name for it is "partial 16S ribosomal RNA". It matches the Rfam family "Bacterial small subunit ribosomal RNA", at positions 28 to 507 of the family's 1533-position model. The record is from RNAcentral.
GACGAACGCUGGCGGCGUGCCUAAUACAUGCAAGUAGAACGCACAGUUUAUACCGUAGCUUGCUACACCAUAGACUGUGAGUUGCGAACGGGUGAGUAACGCGUAGGUAACCUGCCUGGUAGCGGGGGAUAACUAUUGGAAACGAUAGCUAAUACCGCAUAAUAUUGAUUAUUGCAUGAUAAUUAAUUGAAAGGUGCAAUUGCACCACUACCAGAUGGACCUGCGUUGUAUUAGCUAGUAGGUGAGGUAACGGCUCACCUAGGCGACGAUACAUAGCCGACCUGAUAGGGUGAUCGGCCACACUGGGACUGAGACACGGCCCAGACUCCUACGGGAGGCAGCAGUAGGGAAUCUUCGGCAAUGGACGAAAGUCUGACCGAGCAACGCCGCGUGAGUGAAGAAGGUUUUCGGAUCGUAAAGCUCUGUUGUAAGAGAAGAACGGGUGUGAGAGUGGAAAGUUCACACUGUGACGGUAUCUUACCAGAAAGGGACGGCUAACUACGUG